UACGUAGGGCGCAAGCGUUGUCCGGAAUUAUUGGGCGUAAAGGGCGCGUAGGCGGCUACGCACGUCCGUUGUGAAAUCGCUCGGCUCAACUGGGCGGGGUCAGCGGAUACGGCGUAGCUGGAGCAAGCUAGGGGGCAAUGGAAUUCCCGGUGUAGUGGUGGAAUGCGUAGAUAUCGGGAGGAACAUCAGUGGCGAAGGCGGCCUUCUGGUCCAGUACUGACACUCAAGUGCGAAAGCGUGGGGAGCAAACAGG
RNAcentral lists this ribosomal RNA (253 nucleotides) under uncultured bacterium. RNAcentral describes it as "partial 16S ribosomal RNA". It matches the Rfam family "Bacterial small subunit ribosomal RNA", at positions 524 to 776 of the family's 1533-position model. The record is from RNAcentral.